RNAcentral lists this long non-coding RNA (1088 nucleotides) under Homo sapiens (human). RNAcentral's name for it is "HSALNT0045033". The record is from RNAcentral. Lineage: Eukaryota; Metazoa; Chordata; Mammalia; Primates; Hominidae.
UUCUCUACUCUCCCGGAUUGCACCUUCUUAGGAUGGAUGCAAAGCAGGAACUCAAAUGAUUGGCCUUGGUGUUUGGCCCUGAAGCAGUCAGAUAUGUGAGAUGAAAAUUUGAUUGAAGAAUGACUGUAUGAAAACUACAACUAUGCCUUCUGCCUUGUCUUCUGAAGCACCUCUGGAGUUCUGCUUUCUUCCACGUGACAGUAGCAUCGUUUCCUCCCACAAGAAGCAUCAUCUUCAUACCCUCCAAUUCUCUGCGCAUUUAUGGUAUGAAUCCCAGCCCACAGCUGGCCUGCAUGCAAGGCAACUGGUGUCCCUUCUAAAAUGCAGCCUCCAGAACGAAACACAAUGCUCAUCAGGGUGACAACCUGAAGUUCCUCACUUCUGGAAGAGCCGACAUGUUUGAAGCCAUUUCCAGUUAGAGAAAAACAAAAACACAAGCUAUUGCAGGGGAGUAAAAUGAUGAGAAAUAAAAUCUACAAAAAUGAUACGCUUUCAGAACAUGCCUAAGAAAGGCAUGUCUGUAUUAUGCCUUUGGGGAUAGAUUUGGUUGCUGAGAAGUGUAUUCUGAAUAACACGUGGUUUCUUGGUUCUUUAAGCAGGCUAUUACUUUCUCUGUUGCUUUCCUCUUGUUUUCUAGACUGUCUAAUGAAAUUCUUUUACAGAGGAAAAUUAGAAUAAUAUGACCAGAUAUGUUUUUUACAAACGAAAAUGGUGACAAGUUGAAAAUAUUUUUUCAACGACUGGAGUUUCAACUGGAGUUUCAAGCAGUGGUGUGAGCAUCUUAAGCAUGUCCUUCAGCACUUGGUGUGAAUGACAGCUGAUAGAGGUGAGGUAGACUGGCAAACUGCUGCCUGAGUCCAAGAUGGCUUUGAACCUACGCAGCUGGUGCUUUGGACCAUAAAGAGAAAUAAUUGCAUCUGCAGAGUUUUACGUGUGUUUCAUUUAAGAUUUGUAAGAGAGGAUAGUUUACUGUUCCCUUUUAAACUCUUGGGGUUCAGCUGCCUAUUAUAUAGACUCUUACUCCUUCUAUUUCUGGCACUUUUUCAACAUGGGAAGCCUUAUUUGCAUUUAAAUGUUAUAUACAGCGG